Long non-coding RNA from Strigops habroptila (Kakapo), 275 nucleotides. RefSeq lists it as uncharacterized. The record is from RefSeq and is a predicted model, not a curated record. NCBI's taxonomy places the organism in Eukaryota, Metazoa, Chordata, Aves, Psittaciformes, Psittacidae. The transcript has 3 exons.
UCUGUACAACUUAUUGAAAAAUAAUGGACUUUGAUGUGAAACCUGGUGAUAAUUUCAUCUGCAGGACAUGUCAACAUUACCAGGACUACUAGUGUGCUAUACCAGAAAAAUACUGCAAGCAUUUCUUCAGUCUGAGGCUGACAAAGGGGAUGAGGAUCAAUGGAAAGAUGGGGGGAAAAAAAGAGAAAAAUGGGAAACCCAUUUCCCAUAUCCUGGGAAAAAGCGUUAUGAGACCCUAGAUAUAUUCAGUGAGCUGAGAGCAUUUUGGCCAUCAA